This 465-nucleotide ribosomal RNA is filed under the name Vreelandella stevensii. RNAcentral describes it as "partial 16S ribosomal RNA". It matches the Rfam family "Bacterial small subunit ribosomal RNA", at positions 338 to 795 of the family's 1533-position model. The record is from RNAcentral. Lineage: Bacteria; Pseudomonadati; Pseudomonadota; Gammaproteobacteria; Oceanospirillales; Halomonadaceae.
CCUACGGGGUGCAGCAGUGGGGAAUAUUGGACAAUGGGCGAAAGCCUGAUCCAGCCAUGCCGCGUGUGUGAAGAAGGCCUUCGGGUUGUAAAGCACUUUCAGUGGGGAAGAAAGCCUUGGGGCUAAUACCCUCGAGGAAGGACAUCACCCACAGAAGAAGCACCGGCUAACUCCGUGCCAGCAGCCGCGGUAAUACGGAGGGUGCGAGCGUUAAUCGGAAUUACUGGGCGUAAAGCGCGCGUAGGCGGUCUGAUAAGCCGGUUGUGAAAGCCCCGGGCUCAACCUGGGAACGGCAUCCGGAGCUGUCAGGCUAGAGUGCAGGAGAGGAAGGUAGAAUUCCCGGUGUAGCGGUGAAAUGCGUAGAGAUCGGGAGGAAUACCAGUGGCGAAGGCGGCCUUCUGGACUGACACUGACGCUGAGGUGCGAAAGCGUGGGUAGCAAACAGGAUUACAUACCCGAGUAGUC